Molecule: ribosomal RNA, 1493 nt
Filed under: Salmonella enterica
Lineage: Bacteria; Pseudomonadati; Pseudomonadota; Gammaproteobacteria; Enterobacterales; Enterobacteriaceae
Description: partial 23S ribosomal RNA
Rfam family: Bacterial large subunit ribosomal RNA
Source: RNAcentral
CGAAGGGGGGACGGAGAAGGCUAUGUUGGCCGGGCGACGGUUGUCCCGGUUUAAGCGUGUAGGUGUGUGUUCCAGGUAAAUCCGGUUCACUUUAACACUGAGGCGUGAUGACGAGGCACUACGGUGCUGAAGCAACAAAUGCCCUGCUUCCAGGAAAAGCCUCUAAGCAUCAGGUAACAUCAAAUCGUACCCCAAACCGACACAGGUGGUCAGGUAGAGAAUACCAAGGCGCUUGAGAGAACUCGGGUGAAGGAACUAGGCAAAAUGGUGCCGUAACUUCGGGAGAAGGCACGCUGACACGUAGGUGAAGUGAUUUACUCAUGGAGCUGAAGUCAGUCGAAGAUACCAGCUGGCUGCAACUGUUUAUUAAAAACACAGCACUGUGCAAACACGAAAGUGGACGUAUACGGUGUGACGCCUGCCCGGUGCCGGAAGGUUAAUUGAUGGGGUCAGCGCAAGCGAAGCUCCUGAUCGAAGCCCCGGUAAACGGCGGCCGUAACUAUAACGGUCCUAAGGUAGCGAAAUUCCUUGUCGGGUAAGUUCCGACCUGCACGAAUGGCGUAAUGAUGGCCAGGCUGUCUCCACCCGAGACUCAGUGAAAUUGAACUCGCUGUGAAGAUGCAGUGUACCCGCGGCAAGACGGAAAGACCCCGUGAACCUUUACUAUAGCUUGACACUGAACAUUGAGCCUUGAUGUGUAGGAUAGGUGGGAGGCUUUGAAGUGUGGACGCCAGUCUGCAUGGAGCCGGCCUUGAAAUACCACCCUUUAAUGUUUGAUGUUCUAACGUGGACCCGUGAUCCGGGUUGCGGACAGUGUCUGGUGGGUAGUUUGACUGGGGCGGUCUCCUCCUAAAGAGUAACGGAGGAGCACGAAGGUUGGCUAAUCCUGGUCGGACAUCAGGAGGUUAGUGCAAUGGCAUAAGCCAGCUUGACUGCGAGCGUGACGGCGCGAGCAGGUGCGAAAGCAGGUCAUAGUGAUCCGGUGGUUCUGAAUGGAAGGGCCAUCGCUCAACGGAUAAAAGGUACUCCGGGGAUAACAGGCUGAUACCGCCCAAGAGUUCAUAUCGACGGCGGUGUUUGGCACCUCGAUGUCGGCUCAUCACAUCCUGGGGCUGAAGUAGGUCCCAAGGGUAUGGCUGUUCGCCAUUUAAAGUGGUACGCGAGCUGGGUUUAGAACGUCGUGAGACAGUUCGGUCCCUAUCUGCCGUGGGCGCUGGAGAACUGAGGGGGGCUGCUCCUAGUACGAGAGGACCGGAGUGGACGCAUCACUGGUGUUCGGGUUGUCAUGCCAAUGGCACUGCCCGGUAGCUAAAUGCGGAAGAGAUAAGUGCUGAAAGCAUCUAAGCACGAAACUUGCCCCGAGAUGAGUUCUCCCUGAGACUUUAGGUCUCCUGAAGGAACGUUGAAGACGACGACGUUGAUAGGCCGGGUGUGUAAGCGCAGCGAUGCGUUGAGCUAACCGGUACUAAUGAACCGUGAGGCUUAACCUUACA